Unclassified non-coding RNA from Otolemur garnettii (small-eared galago), 304 nucleotides. It matches the Rfam family "Metazoan signal recognition particle RNA". Rfam says of the family: The signal recognition particle (SRP) is a universally conserved ribonucleoprotein. It is involved in the co-translational targeting of proteins to membranes. The record is from Ensembl. NCBI's taxonomy places the organism in Eukaryota, Metazoa, Chordata, Mammalia, Primates, Galagidae.
GCUAGACACAAUGGCAUAUGCCUAUAGUUCAGCUACUCAGGAGGCCAAGGUAGGAGAAUUACUUCAGUCCAGGAGUUCUGAGCUAUUGUGUGCUAUGCUGAUUAGGUGUCUGCCCUAAGUUUGGCAUCAGUAUGGUCUCUCUAGGAGCAGGGGACCACCAGGUUGCCUAAGGAGGGUUCAACUGGUGGUACAGGCCAGAAAUGGAGCAGAUCAGAACUCCUGUGCUGAUCAGUAGUGGGAUCAUACCUGUGAAUAGCCACUGCAUUCCAGCCUGGGCAAUGUAGCAAGAAAGAAAAACAGAUUU